This 520-nucleotide ribosomal RNA is filed under the name uncultured bacterium. Its description in RNAcentral is "bacterial SSU rRNA". It matches the Rfam family "Bacterial small subunit ribosomal RNA", at positions 791 to 1331 of the family's 1533-position model. The record is from RNAcentral.
UAGUCCACGCCGUAAACGAUGGAUACUAGGUGUCCGGGAUAUUAACCUCCGGGGUACUACAGCUAACGCGUUAAGUAUCCCGCCUGGGGAGUACGGUCGCAAGGCUAAAACUCAAAGGAAUUGACGGGGGCCCGCACAAGCGGUGGAGUAUGUGGUUUAAUUCGAAGCAAUGCGCAGAACCUUACCUACCCUUAACAUUUCACGCUCGCCUCAGAGAUGAGGUUUUCUCUUCGGAGACGUGAGGAUAGGUGCUGCAUGGCUGUCGUCAGCUCGUGUCGUAAGAUGUCUGGUUAAGUCCAAUAACGAGCGCAACCCUCAUCUUUAGUUGCCAGCAGGUUAAGCUGGGCACUCUAAAGAAACUGCCCGUGAUAAGCGGGAGGAAGGUGUGGAUGACGUCAAGUCCUCAUGGCCCUUACGGGUUGGGCUACACACGUGCUACAAUGGCAUCUACAGUGAGUUAAUCUCCAAAAGAUGUCUCAGUUCGGAUUGGGGUCUGCAACUCGACCCCAUGAAGUCGGAA